AGAGUGCAAUGAAUGGAGAUAUAUACACAGAGUGCAAUGAAUGGAGAUAUAUACACAGAGUGCAUAUAUCUCCAUUCAUUGCACUCUGUGUAUAUAUCUCCAUUCAUUGCACUCUGU
Non-coding RNA from Pelobates cultripes (western spadefoot toad), 117 nucleotides. NCBI's taxonomy places the organism in Eukaryota, Metazoa, Chordata, Amphibia, Anura, Pelobatidae. The record is from the annotation of a GenBank genome assembly.